GAUGAAGAACGUAGCGAAAUGCGAUAAGUAAUGUGAAUUGCAGAAUUCAGUGAAUCAUCGAAUCUUUGAACGCACAUUGCGCCCGUCAGUAUUCUGGCGGGCAUGCCUGUUCGAGCGUCAUUACGCCCCUCAAGUCCCCUGUGGACUUGGUGUUGGGGAUCGGCGAGGCUGGUUUUCCAGCACAGCCGUCCCUUAAAUUAAUUGGCGGUCUCGCCGUGGCCCUCCUCUGCGCAGUAGUAAAACACUCGCAACAGGAGCCCGGCGCGGUCCACUGCCGUAAAACCCCCCAACUUUUUAUAGUUGACCUCGAAUCAGGUAGGACUACCCGCUGAACUUAAGCAUAUCAAUAAGCGGAGGU
RNAcentral lists this unclassified non-coding RNA (358 nucleotides) under soil metagenome. RNAcentral's name for it is "partial contains 5.8S ribosomal RNA, internal transcribed spacer 2, and large subunit ribosomal RNA". The stretch from base 1 to 120 matches the Rfam family "5.8S ribosomal RNA", at positions 35 to 154 of the family's 154-position model. The record is from RNAcentral.